Long non-coding RNA from Cyanistes caeruleus (blue tit), 325 nucleotides. RefSeq lists it as uncharacterized. NCBI's taxonomy places the organism in Eukaryota, Metazoa, Chordata, Aves, Passeriformes, Paridae. The record is from RefSeq and is a predicted model, not a curated record.
AGAGAAAUUAACUGAGAAGCUUGGAUCUGAGUCUGAACUGAUUUGAAGAGGAUGGUCAUACCAGCUGCAGAAAUGGUUUGGUACAGAUAUUUGUUGUGAACAUCUAAACCUGGAUAGCAAAUUAUUUGUGUUGUGCACAGUACUUUGAGAUCCAUUUGAGCAGGAGAAAGAAACCCAGCUGCCAACCUUUCAGUGGGAUAAUAACACUUCAGAACACAUUGGUCCAAAGCUGAGUUGGGUUUUCUAAGGAGACUUCAUCUGCAUAGGUGAGCCAGUCUGAUUGAGAGGCAGCACCUAUCUCUUGCAGUGAGUGGCAGAGUCUUCU